This is a non-coding RNA of Dendrothele bispora CBS 962.96, 81 nucleotides long. NCBI's taxonomy places the organism in Eukaryota, Fungi, Basidiomycota, Agaricomycetes, Agaricales. The record is from the annotation of a GenBank genome assembly.
GAGAGCUUGGUGUAGAGGUUAUCACGGCUGGGUAUCGCAGUCCUGUCACAGCAGCGCCUGGUUCGAUUCCAGGAGCUCUAA